RNAcentral lists this ribosomal RNA (251 nucleotides) under uncultured bacterium. RNAcentral's name for it is "partial 16S ribosomal RNA". It matches the Rfam family "Bacterial small subunit ribosomal RNA", at positions 524 to 775 of the family's 1533-position model. The record is from RNAcentral.
UACGUAGGGAGCGAGCGUUAUCCGGAAUUAUUGGGUGUAAAGGGUGCGUAGGCGGUUUUAUAAGUCAGUGGUGAAAGCCCGGAGCUUAACUCCGGUAAGCCAUUGAAACUGUAGAACUUGAGUAUGGUAGAGGCAAGUGGAAUUUCUAGUGUAGCGGUAAAAUGCGUAGAUAUUAGAAGGAACACCAGUGGCGAAGGCGACUUGCUGGGCCAAGACUGACGCUGAGGCACGAAAGCGUGGGGAGCAAAUAG